AGGGAAUCUUCGGCAAUGGACGCAAGUCUGACCGAGCAACGCCGCGUGAGUGAAGAAGGUUUUCGGAUCGUAAAACUCUGUUGUUAGAGAAGAACAAGGAUGAGAGUGGAAAAUUCAUCCCUUGACGGUAUCUAACCAGAAAGCUACGGCUAACUACGUGCCAGCAGCCGCGGUAAUACGUAGGUGGCAAGCGUUGUCCGGAUUUAUUGGGCGUAAAGCGAGCGCAGGCGGUUCUUUAAGUCUGAUGUGAAAGCCCCCGGCUUAACCGGGGAGGGUCAUUGGAAACUGGGGAACUUGAGUGCAGAAGAGGAGAGUGGAAUUCCAUGUGUAGCGGUGAAAUGCGUAGAUAUAUGGAGGAACGCCAGUGGCGAAGGCGGCUUUCUGGACUGAAACUGACGCUGAGGCACGAAAGCGUGGGGAGCGAAC
RNAcentral lists this ribosomal RNA (426 nucleotides) under uncultured bacterium. Its description in RNAcentral is "bacterial SSU rRNA". It matches the Rfam family "Bacterial small subunit ribosomal RNA", at positions 356 to 773 of the family's 1533-position model. The record is from RNAcentral.